Molecule: transfer RNA, 72 nt
Organism: Ovis aries (sheep)
Lineage: Eukaryota; Metazoa; Chordata; Mammalia; Artiodactyla; Bovidae
Rfam family: tRNA
About the family: Transfer RNA (tRNA) molecules are approximately 80 nucleotides in length. Their secondary structure includes four short double-helical elements and three loops (D, anti-codon, and T loops).
Source: Rfam
UCCCUGGUGGCUCAGAUGGUAAAGAAUCUGCCUGGGAUGCAGAACACCCAGGUUUGAUCCCUGGGUUGGGAA